GACGAACGCUGGCGGCGUGCCUAAUACAUGCAAGUAGAACGCUGAAGGAGGAGCUUGCUUCUCUGGAUGAGUUGCGGACGGGUGAGUAACGCGUAGGUAACCUGCCUGGUAGUGGGGGAUAACUAUUGGAAACGAUAGCUAAUACCGCAUAAUAGCAGUUGUUGCAUGAUAACUGUUUGAAAGGUGCAAUUGCACCGCUACCAGAUGGACCUGCGUUGUAUUAGCUAGUUGGUGGGGUAACGGCUCACCAAGGCGACGAUACAUAGCCGACCUGAGAGGGUGAUCGGCCACACUGGGACGGAGACACGGCCCAGACUCCUACGGGAGGCAGCAGUAGGGAAUCUUCGGCAAUGGACGGAAGUCUGACCGAGCAACGCCGCGUGAGUGAAGAAGGGUGUCGGAUCGUAAAGCUCUGUUGUAAGAGAAGAACGAGUGUGAGAGUGGAAAGUUCACACUGUGACGGUAUCUUACCAGAAAGGGACGGCUAACUACGUG
This 495-nucleotide ribosomal RNA is filed under the name uncultured bacterium. RNAcentral describes it as "partial 16S ribosomal RNA". It matches the Rfam family "Bacterial small subunit ribosomal RNA", at positions 28 to 507 of the family's 1533-position model. The record is from RNAcentral.